Molecule: long non-coding RNA, 852 nt
Organism: Homo sapiens (human)
Lineage: Eukaryota; Metazoa; Chordata; Mammalia; Primates; Hominidae
Exons: 2
Source: RefSeq, a predicted model, not a curated record
AUCCUGGAAGUUAUGCCUGUGGGGACCAGCUCUCUCAGCAUCUCUCUGCCUGAGGGCCACUCGCCUGUCACUGCCUCACAGUCUCUGAAUUGGGUGACAUUUCAGACCCAAUCCCUCUGUGGACGUUUCUAGGUGGCUGUGCAGCUUCUCGAUACUCCAUAAGGAGACGUUCACAACCUUUAAGGCCAUCUCUCCUGCUGCAGACAACCUGCUGUAGCACUGCUACUUGCUUUUUAAACUACAGUCCGCUUUCUCCUUUGUGCAGGGAGGAAAGAAUGGAGCGCAAUUCCAGAAAGUUCCCUAAGAAUCAUAUUGCAGUUAUUCAAAGGCAUUUUGGCAGAAGGAACAAUCCCUAUCUCGGAGGUAAAAGUAUAGUUUAUAAUUUUUCUCAAGUACAACACACUGGCAAAAAUUCUUUGGUUGAAUUAGGUUUCUGAAUUUUCUGCUAGGCCCAUCUGUGCACUUCCCUGUAAAAUCCAGUUUUAGCACAGACCCUGGCUAAGUCAGUUUACCAAGAACCACCACCACCACCCCGCCUUAUGUGGUUAUUCUCAAUAUCUGAUCAGGUUCCUUAUUCUCCACUAUCCCCCAGAUGAUGUCUGAUUACCUUGGCCUGUCUCCAGCAAGAAUCCUGUUAGGUAUAUUUAGCCAGAAACUCCUUUACCCCGAUGUUUCCUCUUAGUAAUUUUCCAUCCACUGACCCCUACACAGCUCCUUGGCCAUAAAUGCCCACUUGCCCAUGCUGCUGUUUGGAGUUGAGCCUAAUCUCUCUUCCACUGCAAAACCCCGUUGCAGUGAGCUCUAUAUACCUAUCAUGAAGUUCCUGAAUAAAGUCUUCCUUACCAUGCUUCA